RNAcentral lists this ribosomal RNA (436 nucleotides) under Staphylococcus aureus. RNAcentral describes it as "partial 23S ribosomal RNA". It matches the Rfam family "Bacterial large subunit ribosomal RNA", at positions 614 to 1049 of the family's 2925-position model. Lineage: Bacteria; Bacillati; Bacillota; Bacilli; Caryophanales; Staphylococcaceae. The record is from RNAcentral.
AAUGAACCGGCGAGUUACGAUUUGAUGCAAGGUUAAGCAGUAAAUGUGGAGCCGUAGCGAAAGCGAGUCUGAAUAGGGCGUUUAGUAUUUGGUCGUAGACCCGAAACCAGGUGAUCUACCCUUGGUCAGGUUGAAGUUCAGGUAACACUGAAUGGAGGACCGAACCGACUUACGUUGAAAAGUGAGCGGAUGAACUGAGGGUAGCGGAGAAAUUCCAAUCGAACCUGGAGAUAGCUGGUUCUCUCCGAAAUAGCUUUAGGGCUAGCCUCAAGUGAUGAUUAUUGGAGGUAGAGCACUGUUUGGACGAGGGGCCCCUCUCGGGUUACCGAAUUCAGACAAACUCCGAAUGCCAAUUAAUUUAACUUGGGAGUCAGAACAUGGGUGAUAAGGUCCGUGUUCGAAAGGGAAACAGCCCAGACCACCAGCUAAGGUCCCA